CUACGGGUUGCAGCAGUGGGGAAUAUUGCACAAUGGAGGAAACUCUGAUGCAGCAACGCCGCGUGGAGGAUGACACUUUUCGGAGCGUAAACUCCUUUUAUAUAGGAAGAAGAUGACGGUACUAUAUGAAUAAGCGCCGGCUAACUCCGUGCCAGCAGCCGCGGUAAUACGGAGGGCGCAAGCGUUACUCGGAAUCACUGGGCGUAAAGAGCGUGUAGGCGGAUUAAAAAGUCAGAAGUGAAAUCCUAUAGCUUAACUAUAGAACUGCUUCUGAAACUCUUAAUCUAGAAUAUGGGAGAGGUAGAUGGAAUUUCUGGUGUAGGGGUAAAAUCCGUAGAGAUCAGAAGGAAUACCGAUUGCGAAGGCGAUCUACUAGAACAUUAUUGACGCUGAGACGCGAAAGCGUGGGGAGCAAACAGGAUUAUACCCGCGUAGUC
RNAcentral lists this ribosomal RNA (437 nucleotides) under uncultured bacterium. Its description in RNAcentral is "partial 16S ribosomal RNA". It matches the Rfam family "Bacterial small subunit ribosomal RNA", at positions 339 to 795 of the family's 1533-position model. The record is from RNAcentral.